UUUGACUUUGAACGCCUAGAGCGGUUGCAAACAAACAAAAUUAAAAUAAUAAUAAAAAUAAAUAUCUCCUGAAAUAAAUGUAUUAUUUUCAUAUAUGAGAAUAAGAAAAGAAGUUUAAAAACAAUCUAUCAAAAUGGAGGAGAAUCUCGAAAAUGAAUGUGAGGAUUUAGUUGAUGAAGUCUCGGACAUGAGACAAAGAUAUCCAGCCUAUUGUUCUUACAAAUUGGAAAAAACUCUCAAACUAACUAGAGAAAUCAAUUCAAUGUAUAUGAAGACUGAUUCACUGCAUUUCGGUAAAUUAGAAAUACCAUUGCAAUUAGAAGGAGAAAGAAAAAAGAUUUAUGAAAAUUAUGUGUCGAAAUUAUCAAAUAAUGAAAAUUCAAAUUCUAAAGAGAAAUGGAAAAAUAUGUUGACAAAUGUAAAUAAUUAUGUGAAAAUUGCCGAGCAACUCAGAGCAGAAAAAAAAUCACCCAUUGUUCGUAGUAUUAAAAAAUUAUCUCAAGAUAUUGGAAAAAAUUGAACAACCCAAAAAUUCUGGAAUAAAAUUGCGAGGGAAUUUUACAAAAUUUUCAAAUUAAGACUCAAGUUUAUCGAGGACUUCAGCUUUUAAUUGAUUCAUCAUUUUUAAUUCAUUCUCGGGAGAAAAUCAAUUCCAAGGGAACUCGAGAAUCUUUAAAAUUAAAAGGUGUUCAAUGAUUCAUCGCAAAUUUUAUGCCAUUGUGUCCGUGACCUGUAAAUUUUGUAUAAUAAGAGGAGCACUUUGACAUUUCUGAAGAAAUAAUAAUCAGUUUCUAGAAAUGAAUAGUAUUUUUUGGUAUUUUAAAAAUUUUUAAUUCUGUAAAAUAAGAUUUGUUAACUAUUCAAAAAGAUACUUCUUAACGUUACGAUAAUUUACAGUAUAGUAGAAAUUAGCAUACUUCUGGAAGAAUCUAUAUUAUUCUAAAAAUGUUUGAAGGAAUCCUAGACUUGGAUUCAUUUAUCUAUCCAUGUUAAUAAGUAGAAUUUUUAAUGGAAAAGAAUAUUAAGAGGCCAGAAUUGUAGUUAAAAUAUGCAAUAAAUUAAAAUAAAUAUAUUUGUAAGAUACCGCAA
RNA transcript from Leptopilina heterotoma, 1089 nucleotides. RefSeq lists it as uncharacterized. Lineage: Eukaryota; Metazoa; Arthropoda; Insecta; Hymenoptera; Figitidae. The record is from RefSeq and is a predicted model, not a curated record. The transcript has 5 exons.